ACGUAGGGUGCAAGCGUUGUCCGGAAUUAUUGGGCGUAAAGAGCUCGUAGGCGGUUUGUCGCGUCUGCUGUGAAAACUGGAGGCUCAACCUCCAGCCUGCAGUGGGUACGGGCAGACUAGAGUGCGGUAGGGGAGAUUGGAAUUCCUGGUGUAGCGGUGGAAUGCGCAGAUAUCAGGAGGAACACCGAUGGCGAAGGCAGAUCUCUGGGCCGUAACUGACGCUGAGGAGCGAAAGCAUGGGGAGCGAACAGGAUUAGAUACCCUGGUAGUCCAUGCCGUAAACGUUGGGAACUAGAUGUGGGGACCAUUCCACGGUCUCCGUGUCGCAGCUAACGCAUUAAGUUCCCCGCCUGGGGAGUACGGCCGCAAGGCUA
Molecule: ribosomal RNA, 374 nt
Filed under: uncultured bacterium
Lineage: Bacteria
Description: bacterial SSU rRNA
Rfam family: Bacterial small subunit ribosomal RNA
Source: RNAcentral